AAGCAGGUAGUUGGAUUCUAAAUUUCAUCAAUAUUGAUACAGUUGGUGUCUAACUUGUUUCCUUAAUUUUCUCCCAAACUAGGGAUAACGGGAAUUUAAUGUUCAUCCAUGUGACUAUGCAUGUGUUAAUGACAAUGAGAACCCAACUACUGUAUCCUGUACUUGCAUACACUUGGUUGAAAUUGAAUUGUUCCUAAUCCAAUGAAUUAAUUG
Molecule: unclassified non-coding RNA, 213 nt
Filed under: Hevea brasiliensis (rubber tree)
Lineage: Eukaryota; Viridiplantae; Streptophyta; Magnoliopsida; Malpighiales; Euphorbiaceae
Source: RNAcentral